Molecule: long non-coding RNA, 604 nt
Organism: Arabidopsis thaliana (thale cress)
Lineage: Eukaryota; Viridiplantae; Streptophyta; Magnoliopsida; Brassicales; Brassicaceae
Product: other RNA
Exons: 1
Source: RefSeq
UGCGACUUUGUGUCUCCUGUAUUAAUUUUUAAUUUUAUUGGGCAUGUCCAAACAUCAAAAACCCUCCCAAAUACACAAAUCUUUUUUUAUAAAUUGUGUAAUCUUUAUUUGACAACCAAACUGCCUUUGAGAAUUCGGGUAUUCAAAGAACAAAUGGUCAUGGGAAUCCCAAGAAAUUAUACAAACUUUGUUUUUAAGAAAAUAUAGACUUGAAAGAGACACACAACAAACAUUUAGGUUAUAACUCAAACACAGAUUUGAUAAGGAAAAAAAAGUGUAUAUUACUUAAUUUAAUGAAGAGUGAUAUUUGUUUUACACCCCUAGCCACACAUCUUAUUAAGUUUAGCUAACUUAGUGCAUGUGACUAAGGAAUUUAAACUUAAUUAACUGAAUCUGUCACUUUCCCAUAACCAGAUAUACUACUACUUUGACAACAAAAACAUUCCGUGGCAAAACUAUUUGCUCUACACAAAGCCCGCUGGAACGCAGCAGCUCUCUUUUUAAAGCCCAAUGAUCGUAAGAUUCCACAAAACUUCAAAUUCUCAACUUCGUAGACUUCUUUUAUACCAUAAGAAUUCAACAACCCCUUGUUGUCUGUAGUGAU